RNAcentral lists this ribosomal RNA (304 nucleotides) under uncultured bacterium. Its description in RNAcentral is "bacterial SSU rRNA". It matches the Rfam family "Bacterial small subunit ribosomal RNA", at positions 8 to 306 of the family's 1533-position model. The record is from RNAcentral.
AGAGUUUGAUCCUGGCUCAGAUUGAACGCUGGCGGCAGGCCUAACACAUGCAAGUCGAGCGGCAGCGGGAAAGUAGCUUGCUACUUUUGCCGGCGAGCGGCGGACGGGUGAGUAAUGCCUGGGAAAUUGCCCAGUCGAGGGGGAUAACAGUUGGAAACGACUGCUAAUACCGCAUACGCCCUACGGGGGAAAGCAGGGGACCUUCGGGCCUUGCGCGAUUGGAUAUGCCCAGGUGGGAUUAGCUAGUUGGUGAGGUAAUGGCUCACCAAGGCGACGAUCCCUAGCUGGUCUGAGAGGAUGAUCA